CAGAAAAUGAAUCUGUGAUCUCCCUGACACCCGCAUUCCCUUCCUUACUGCAAGACUCUUAUUCAUCCUGAGUGAUUCUCAGCCACGUCCUCUCACAGAGAUCUCCCACAGAGGAUUCACUCGACAUUCUUGAGAGCUCUCCCCAUGUCUCGGAAUUCCAUGGAGACUGGAACGACCUCCAGGAAUUGAUGCAGAGUGAAAAGAGCAGAACCAGGAGAACGUUAUACACAGAGACUGAUACA
RNAcentral lists this long non-coding RNA (242 nucleotides) under Monodelphis domestica (gray short-tailed opossum). RNAcentral describes it as "lncRNA (ENSMODG00000049027.1)". The record is from RNAcentral. Lineage: Eukaryota; Metazoa; Chordata; Mammalia; Didelphimorphia; Didelphidae.